Molecule: ribosomal RNA, 402 nt
Filed under: uncultured bacterium
Lineage: Bacteria
Description: bacterial SSU rRNA
Rfam family: Bacterial small subunit ribosomal RNA
Source: RNAcentral
UGGGGAAUCUUGCACAAUGGGGGAAACCCUGAUGCAGCGACGCCGCGUGAACGAUGAAGCCCUUCGGGGUGUAAAGUUCUUUCGACAGGAACGAUAAUGACGGUACCUGGAGAAGAAGCUGCGGCUAACUACGUGCCAGCAGCCGCGGUAAUACGUAGGCAGCGAGCGUUGUUCGGAGUUACUGGGCGUAAAGAGUGCGUAGGCGGCGAGCCAAGUUUGGUGUGAAAUCUCCCGGCUUAACCGGGAGGGUGCGCCGAAAACUGGUUGGCUGGAGUAUGGGAGAGNAAAGCGGAAUUCCUGGUGUAGCGGUGAAAUGCGUAGAUAUCAGGAGGAACACCUGCGGUGUAGACAGCUUUCUGGACCAAAACUGACGCUGAGGCACGAAAGCGUGGGUAGCAAACA